Molecule: long non-coding RNA, 1071 nt
Filed under: Oncorhynchus kisutch (coho salmon)
Lineage: Eukaryota; Metazoa; Chordata; Actinopteri; Salmoniformes; Salmonidae
Description: lncRNA (ENSOKIG00005050470.1)
Source: RNAcentral
UUAUGGGGACAGCCGAUAAAUAAAUAAAAAAACGAAGUGCAUGACAGUCUUUGCCAAAGGUAACCUGCAUUUAUCUUCUAGGGAGAGUUGGGCCUUGUUGGAGUUGUUGGCCCCAGAGGCCCGCAGGUAAGAGGAGACGUUUGUCUUGUUGUGUUUUCUUGCCUGAAGUUGGGUCACAUUCAACAGAACUACAUGCUCUAUGCUUGUUAGACUAUAAAGGAAAUAUUUCUGUUUAUUUCACCAGGGGCCCCAGGGUUUAGAUGGUGAGAGUGGGCCUCCAGGUCUCAGGGGAAUUCAGGUCAGUCUCAAUCAGCUGCACAACUUUCCCUAACAGAGACUUGGGACCAGAUGAUUGUCUUUGGAAAUGUAUUUUUCUGAGGGAUAAUAUCUGGGGUUAAAGGUCAUCUGUAUUUUCACAGGGACAGCUUGGGAUGAGUGGUGCCGCUGGUCCGAAAGGUGACCCUGGACCAAUGGGGAUGAUGGGUAUCCAGGGUGAGCUAGGGUUCGAGGGGCCCAUGGGCCCACUGGGAAUACAAGGUCCAAUGGGUUUCCCUGGUAUUACUGGAAAAAGAGGACCAGACGGGGAUAAGGGAGACCCUGGACCAAAGGGGGAGAGAGUAAGAACCCGGUCUCUGGAGACCUGUACACAUUCCGCAAAACUAAAGCUGUUGAUUCAUACUUUUUACGUCUAUUGUGAGUUACCCGUUUAUCUGUUUCUGUCUCUCUCUCUCUCUCUCUCUCUCUCUCUCUCUCUCGCUUGUUCUAUCUCUCAGGGUGUUCAGGGUUCUUCGGGUAUCCAAGGGCCUCAGGGAGAGAGGGGUCCCAGUGGCCCCCCUGGCUUUACAGGGCUCAAAGGUCAAUCUGGCACUAAAGGCAUUGAGGGGGAGAAUGGAGAAACUGGCCAUCAGGGAAAACUGGGCAGACAGGGGCUGAAGGGGAAUAGAGGGACAGCUUGGCGCAACGGCAAGCCUGGACACAGAGGGAACAAGGUAGGACACUCUCCCAUUGAAUGCGUUUAUGAAGGUUGCUAAAAUGUCCAGGUUAUCCAGCAUUUCUAGGAUAUGUAAUUUC